UACGUAGGGGGCAAGCGUUGUCCGGAAUUAUUGGGCGUAAAGGGCGCGUAGGCGGGCUUAUAAGUCUGAUGUGAAAGUGCGGAGCUUAACUCCGUAAAGCAUUGGAAACUGUAAGUCUUGAGGACAGGAGAGGAAAGUGGAAUUCCUAGUGUAGCGGUGAAAUGCGUAGAUAUUAGGAGGAACACCAGUGGCGAAGGCGACUUUCUGGACUGUUACUGACGCUGAGGCGCGAAAGCGUGGGGAGCGAACAGG
RNAcentral lists this ribosomal RNA (252 nucleotides) under uncultured bacterium. RNAcentral describes it as "partial 16S ribosomal RNA". It matches the Rfam family "Bacterial small subunit ribosomal RNA", at positions 524 to 776 of the family's 1533-position model. The record is from RNAcentral.